This 377-nucleotide ribosomal RNA is filed under the name uncultured bacterium. Its description in RNAcentral is "bacterial SSU rRNA". It matches the Rfam family "Bacterial small subunit ribosomal RNA", at positions 521 to 896 of the family's 1533-position model. The record is from RNAcentral.
UAAUACGUAGGGGGCGAGCGUUGUCCGGAUUCAUUGGGCGUAAAGCGCGUGCAGGCGGCCUGGUAAGUCGGCCGUGAAAGCGCCAGGCUUAACCUGGCGAGGUCGGGCGAGACUGCUAGGCUGGAGGCCGGUAGAGGGCGGUGGAAUUCCGGGUGUAGUGGUGGAAUGCGUAGAGAUCCGGAGGAACACCAGUGGCGAAGGCGGCCGCCUGGGCCGGACCUGACGCUGAGACGCGAAAGCGUGGGGAGCGAUCCGGAUUAGAUACCCGGGUAGUCCACGCCGUAAACGAUGGGCACUAGGUGUCGGGGGUAUCGACCCCUCCGGUGCCGGAGCUAACGCAAUAAGUGCCCCGCCUGGGGAGUACGGCCGCAAGGCUA